GACGUAGGUGGCAAGCGUUAUCCGGAAUUAUUGGGCGUAAAGGGUGUGUAGGUGGUUAUAUAAGUCAGAAGUUAAAAUGCUGGGGCUCAAACCCAGUACCUGCUUUUGUAUACUGUAUAACUAGAGUUCAGGAGAAGAAAGUGGAAUUAUCAGAGUAGCGGUGAAAUGCGUAGAUACUGAUAGGAAGGCCAAAGACGAAGGUAGCUUUCUGGACUGAUACUGACACUGAGGCACUAAAGCUAGGGGAGCAAACAGGAUUAGAAACCCGUGUAGU
This 274-nucleotide ribosomal RNA is filed under the name uncultured bacterium. RNAcentral describes it as "partial 16S ribosomal RNA". It matches the Rfam family "Bacterial small subunit ribosomal RNA", at positions 524 to 794 of the family's 1533-position model. The record is from RNAcentral.